Molecule: long non-coding RNA, 693 nt
Organism: Olea europaea var. sylvestris
Lineage: Eukaryota; Viridiplantae; Streptophyta; Magnoliopsida; Lamiales; Oleaceae
Exons: 2
Source: RefSeq, a predicted model, not a curated record
AAUAAACUGUUCCAAAUUGAAACCCAAAUUCACCCCCAAAUCAAUGAAGAACCCUAAAAUUCGCCACCAAAAUCCCAGCAGAAAAUCUUGAUGUUCGGAAACUAUACACACACACAGACAAUUGACUCAACGAGAGGCUGAUUAGCUGGUAGUAUGGUUUCUUUAUACGCGAGAAGAAUGGGUAAAUAAGGAGCUCGGCAUUUCGAAUGAAAUGGAAAGUGGAAUCUGAUGCUCCAUUCGGCCCCCAGAGCAAAGGAAAAAUGGAAUUUUGAAAGAAAUGAAAAGUGGAAAAGUAAACUCCACUUGGGACUUUGACUAAAAAGAGAGGUGACUGGUUUAUUGCGAGAACCUCUGUUUUUCACUUUCAUGCUGCAUCCAUGAGUCUGGAAUAACUUAUUGAAGUUUAUGAGCGUAAGAAAACUGCUUGGUAUCAACUUGUGGUCUACUCCAAUUCGAGAAUGAAUGCAAACAAAAGUGUCUUCAUUAUUGGUGCCACCAACAGGCCUAAUAUAAUCAAUCAUGCGCUUUUUCGUCAUGGACGUCUCGAUCAAUUGAUUUACAUCUGUAAAUAAGUAAAAUUGUCUUAAAGAUUGGAACCACCAUAUUAACAUUUUUCCCUGUAUUGUAGUAGGAAAAUUGAUGGCUUGUUUUCUGAUUGUAUUGAAGCUAUAAAUGAAUGGAAUGGAAUUUAAU